AGACCAUGCAAGGUUCUGCAGGUGUCCCACCCUUCUCCCACCACAUGGAUGCGUUAAAAGGUAUUAUAACAAUUUGGUUUUUCUGCCUUUAGGAGUUCAUCUUAAUUCUUACUCAGUUUUCUUCCGCUCUGUUUCCCUUAUUCGUUUUGGAGGUUUCUUUCCUCUUUCGUUUUUACACUAAUAUCUGAUCCUUUCCUGCUGAUACGUAUGUGCUUGUGCGAGAUUGCAUGUGGGUUUGUCUGUCACUGAAUGCAUGCUUCUGUGGUUGUUUACAAGUGCUACUGUAGCUGCAGGACAACUUUAAAAGAACGAACUCUAUUAGCUAUGUGUGUUUCUGCUCCAUUGUAUUUUACUACCCUGUAAUGCCUCUCUCAAAACUAAAUUUCAUUGGGGUCAUGGCUCUGGCUGCUCGUUGCAUAAUUUAGUCCUGUAUUUUAUUAUGUUUAUCAGCGCUGAACUCUUAAGGUGGAAGGGGAUGAAGUGUAUUAUGCAUGCUGUGCGUAAAGCUUUUAAUAUGUGUAUCUUUGACGUUUGUCAGUAGCUUUCAGUCAAAUCAAGUCUAGAAAUACAUAGCAGCAUCUUAACGGUAACAGUAGGAGUGUUGUGGGAUUCGGGUGUGAUGAUGAGUGUGAAAGAGUUGGAGAUUAGCAGUUUUUUUUGUGUUUACUUUAAUUUUUGUCACUUUGCCCAGCAUUUGUUACACAGUGACCCAAUUCAAAGGAUUAUUAUUAGUGGGUAGUUCUCUCGCCAUGUGCCAUAUCGUUAAUGCUUUCAUCAUUAAAAAGUAAAAUUAUAAACCAGAGAAGGAUCAAAUCUGCUUAAGACCAAAGUCCAUGCUUUGCUGAAGAGAAAUAAUUGAAAUGGCAGCAAUAUUGCUCAUUACUCUGGAUCCUGCUACGUGUGUGUGUGUAUGUGUGUAUGUGUGUGAGAAGAGAGCACAUGUCUCGUAUGUAAGGCGCUGUGUUGGCGAACGCCCAAUCCACCCCUCUCCUGCUCUUCCUUGUAAUGAAGGUACAGCGUAAAAUGAAACUCCCUUAUUUUAUACAGAUUUACUGUACUUUUUUUCUGAACUCAGCAGAAUCUUCAGUUCAUGAAUUGUGCUAAUUGGGCAUUCAACAUAUCGUGUAUGUAAUCCAAGAAAUUGAGCAGUGGUUUGAAUUUACGGGUAUGACUAGGCUAAAAUGUCGAAUCCAUUAUUUGGUUUCAGUGUAACCCAAGGUUUUCCUUAACCGGAUUUACAUAUUUGGCUCACUUUUCUAGCUUUUGUGCAUUUUCAAGGCCAGUAUUGUUGAUCAUAUUUUUAACAGUUUUUGAGUUUUCUGGACGGCCUACCCUUAUUGUCUAUAAGCGGUUUUCGGAAUCCAUCUGGGUGAUCCCAUCCCUGUGUGGAAAUCGAAUUGGUGACCAUGCGUCCAAACAUACCUCACAAAUAUCCUUAAAAUCCACCCCGCAAAUCUCUUUUCACAACAUCUCCCUUCAUCCCUUUCCUUCUGCUCAUCCUUUUGCUUAAAUCUGCAUUCUCUCCCUCUGUUUUGGGGCUUGUAUUGACCUGUUAAUAGUAUUAUCCACAGAGCGUGUGGCAGGGCCAGGGUCACCUCCCUCUAGGGUUUGGAUGGUCAGCCCCUGGCCAAGGUUUGGUCAGUGAGCGGCCAAUAGGACCUAAGCUCUGGCCAUCCUUCAAUCUAGCUCCUUUCACAGCAGAGGUCACACGAGUCAAAGGGUAAUAAGUUUAACCCCUCGAGGGGUGAGGAGUCAGAGGUCAUAUGAAAGGCUAUAGGGAGAAGGUUUGCAUCAUCAAUCAGUGGCACUCCUGGUUAUAUCUCUGCAUAUCGAUGACACUUGCUCGUUUCUGCCAAUCUCAUUUGCAUGGCUUGCUAAGCACAAAGGGCGGCUAUUGUAGUCAAACAAAUUUGAACAAAUAUAAGAUAAAAAUGGAGGGAGACCAGUUUUUUGUCAGGUUUUAGUGCCAUUGAAAUAUUCUUUGUCAGAGAUGUUAUUUAGAUCCUUUUGGAGUAAUUUAAUCUCACUACGUAAUGCAGACAUUUAAUUAAGUUCCUUUUUAGUGUGCUGAAAUGCCGUCCACUUUUGUAACAGAUGCUUUAAAUGUAAACUUCUAUGAUUAAGGGCUAUAAGAAAUUAUUUUCUUGUCAGGGAAAAAAAAAUCUUCUGGACGAUUUACAGAGUCGUUUUGUUUAAUUGGGUUUAUUUGUAGGAAGUGUGGAUGUUGAAGUGCACUUGCGCAGUCUUCUCAGUCUCACAGUUAUCUUUGAAUGCUUUCAACAAUCAAGUCUCUAAACACAACAAUGACUCUAUGUCAAUUUCUUAAAUUCUGCUGAGGAUGAGCAAGUGUACUCCUCCUUGUAAAACCGAAAUGGUGCGGUGCUGAUGUUUCAGCAUCUCCCAGAGGUCUCCUCUCCCUGGCUGAUGUUAGCGAUGUGUCAGCAUUAAGCUAGGCCUGCCUGCUAGGAUGCUCAGGCCGUGGUGGCGACCAGCCCAGCCUGGCCAAAAGCCAGACCAGACAUGUCCUGGCAUUAGACAACAGAGACGUGACAGGAUCAAGGAGUGGAGGAAAAAUAUGCUCAUACAGUUUACAGUAUUGUUGAUCUAUGCUAUCAAUAAAGUACAGCGAUACGCAUGUUUGAAAGAUUUUUCAGAUUAAAGAUUUUUGUUUCUGCUGCUUUGUGUUUUUGAUCCAACAGUGCAUCAUGAAGGAAGAAAGCAACAAUGGGAAGGAAACAAGGGAUUAAAGAGGACGUUCGACAGGGGAUCCCAGGCCGGAGCAGGGUGUCAUGGUUACUUGGUAUGUUCCUUCGCCAAAUGAGCCACAGUGAGACAUCUAAUGUGUACUACUCUCAGGGAAGCCCCACGUGCACAUUACACAAAUGGGAUGAAGUGCAUAUAUGUUGGACAGAGCACACUGGAGGAUGUGUGCAUGCCAUUAAGUGUGUGAACGAGAGAGAUGUACAUGUUGCUCAGUCAGCUCUUGCACAGACAGAGACCAUCAAUCACAAAUGCACGCUGAGCCGCAUUGCUCUUUUCCUGGUCCCUCAAGUCCUUUCUCUGGGCUGGAAUUACACAGCACUUUACCUGCAGCACUGCAUUUUCUGGACUUUGUCUUUACCCUGCGCCGUAACUCAAGCGCCACAAUUGUGCGGUCACGUCUUUUUAAACUCUGACCAGAGAUUAAAUUUUACGGUGAAACUUAUAAAUCAGCCACAUACACACAGUCAGCACGAGGUUUUGCUGUUUCUCUCAGUUUUGAUUCUCGCGUUGCAGUGACAUGCAAACAAGGUGAAGUCUGUAAUGUCUGAGGCAUUCAAAAUGCACUGCAGAGAGCAGUCAUUUAUUGUGUUUGCAUCUCACCUCUCUCCAUACCAUAAGCAUAAUAGCUCAUCAUUUGCUGUAGAAUGCGCUUCCCUUGCUUAAAUCAUUUUCACCUAUUUUACGAGCCCCACAACAAAGCUUGUGCAUCGCUGUGUGGCAUCUUAUUUUCCUGCAUGUACCCUAUGUCAGUCCUGAAGAGCGCUGAGUACACCUUACUGCCAUGAGAACUAUUAUACCUUUUAUUUAACUAAAAUCAUUUAGUAGGCACAUCCAUCCAUGCAUGUUUUCUCUUUGUAUUGCUCAAAAAUGUUAAAUUGCAACUGUAUGGUUACAUGAAAGUAUCUCAUUUUCUGUAAAUCUGCAGGAAACUUUAAACUAAAUAAUUAUAAACCAGGAAUAAGCUCCAUGGCGGGUGGGGGCCAACUGUAUUUGAUGGAUGAGAGUAAAGACCUUGAGUUUGGGAUAAGACGGGGUAGAGUAUGUGGCGGCCGGGUGGAUUUUGCAAUACCUGCUGCAGUUUUUUGAGAGGGCGUGUGAUAAGUAGCAGGUGGACUGGUUAUUGUCGUGAUAAGAGCAGGUGAUUGAUCAUUUGGUCAAGGUCUGGACUGUCCCCCAAAGUUUGAUCAGCUGAAAGGUUCACUUCAUAGUUAUCUCCCGAACUUCAGCAGUGACUAUCUUGCUGUGUGAAAAAAGCUGAGCAUUCACAAGUGCUGAACCAGGACAAAAAAAACUUAAACUUCCCUUUAAAUUUAUUUGGUCACUCCAUAAAAAAUAUUUCUUGAGUGCAGAAAACAUCUUUUGAUUCUAAUUUGGCCUCGUAACUUUACUGAUAAAAUUUAAAGGUACUUAAUAUUCAACCAUGUGACAGGGACAGAAGUGUCUGUUUUUCAUAAAGCUGCUGUUUUUCAAAUCGAUGUAAAAAGAUAUCCACCCUUUGUAAGGUCCUACUAAUGUCAUACUGCACCCAGGCUAUCAGGAGGGGCUAUUCAUAAAGGUCACUUAUCACUGCUCGCUUUGUUGUGAUGCUGCCAAUUAAACAGCCAAUAACUGAGCCUGUGAAACACGACCUAAUUACAAUGUUUUGUUGGGAGUUUUAUUGUCAGAAUUGGAAAUAUGUCUUACACAAAAUAUAGGAUUUGUGUGUUAAUUCAUGAAAAUGUAAAACUAUGAACUGAAGUAUUACCAAGAACUUUAAAAAACUUGUGAACAUAUACAUAUGUAUAGAACAGACGUCAGUGGAAAAAUUAGAUUAGAUAUGAAUCAAGGUCAUGAUAGUUUAGUUGGGGACUGCAGGUUUAAGAUUAUACUCAUGCUAACACUGUAAACACUUUUUCAACAGUUUAAUACUCUGUUAACUCUGUGGUGUUCUUCCCCCUUUAGAGAGGUAUGAGGAGACUCUUGAUAUAGGCUUAUGAGAAAUGUUUUUUUAUUGACUUCAAUCAUACAUCAUGAAGAAAAAAUCCUUUUUCAACUAUUUUAUAAAAUCAAGGUUAAUGUAUAGGUUAAGAAAGUAAGAAUUGAGUACCGUACUUAGAUUUUUAAGAAAAUAAAAAAUAAAGACAGCAGGAACUAAUUUACUUAAAGCUUCUUCCAGGGAUCUGUUUUAUAAAUCAGGCUCACAUAGGAAAAGGAUAUUCUUUCUGGAGUUGCUUUAAGUUAGGAUUCAGCUGAGCCCCAAGCAAGCUGUAAGAUGUUUAGAUGUAGUUGCGCUGUUUGUAAGUCUUGGUGAGUCAGUUUUAAGCUGAGGAGAGAAGUUAGAAUUGUGAGGCAGCAGCAGCCAGAGCUGGUGCUGUGUAUUAAAUCAAGGUGAGUAACUGGGACCUUGAAAUGACCAGAGGCCUGUAACAGAAUGCUCCCAAGGAAAAGGCCAGUCCUCCAAUGGACCUAAAUUGACUCCCCGCUCAUUUACAUGAGACAUAAAUUCACAUUUAAAUGGCAGAAAAUUACUCGGGUGGCUGAUACACUGAGGCAUAUGAAAUUAUAAUUGUAGUCAGCACCGUGUAUGUGUGCGCGGGUGAUAUAAGAUAGAGGAGCUGUGUGGAGGAAUUAUGCGUCCAAUAACUGAGAUGGGAUGUAAAUAUGGUCAGGACAGUCAGUGGUCUGAUGUGCUGUCGGCCCAUUUCAUCGGAGACUGCAGAGCCGGAGCUAAAUGGCAGCCAGUCUCACAACAAGCAAAUAGGUUGGUGAGCUGUAUGAGAGUGUUUUUGUAUGUAAUGAACAAUCAAGUCCAAAAAGAUUGUUAGCCGAUAGUAGAAUAUUUUCAAAUAGGUAAGAUCUGUCAGGCCUGCAACAACCAAUUGUUUUAUUAUAAAUCUCCCAAUUAAACUUUCAAUUCAAUCGCUCGGUUUCUUGAAUGUCAAGAACUGAAGAAGAAAAAAUGUUUUUUAGAUUUUUCGGGGUCCUAAAGUUUGAUUUCAGAUAUUUACUUUUGUCCGACCAACAGCUGGAAACACAAAGAUAUUUAGUGACUGUAUUACUGAAAACAGCAAAUCCUUACACUCAACAAAAAAGGGCGAGACCUUUUUUUCCCCCAAAAUAAUAGAUAAAUGGGAGAAAUGAGACAUGGUUGAAAAACCGCUCUUCUGCAGUUGCACCAUUGUAGUCUGAUUCCUUUUCUCCACCAUGGUCUUCAUUGUGCCCCCUCUCUCAUCCCACUAUCUUGCCCCUUGUUCCCCCCUUUCUCUCAGCAUUUCUUUCUUCUAUCUUUACAGUAGCGUUCCUCCAACGGAAAGAUCAGGGCUCAUACACAUGUCACAUCAGUUCAUGGAGAUCCACAUUGUUUUUAGCCACUGUGCACCUCUGGGAGGUCUGUGGGUUGUCUGUCUUUCUCAGUGUGAGCUUGCAUCCCCCAAAUGCAACCCCACAGCAGUCGACACCGCUCCUGCGCACUAUGCUGCACAAUCGACUAACUCACAUAUUGUAUGUGUACUGGUCAUCUACAUUUCUCUGCAAUAAUUCUCAGACUGCACUUUUUUUUCUAUCUGAAUCUCACCACAUGUCAUUCAGUCCAAACUGGACCAUCAACAAACAGUACAAUAUGACCCACCAGGAGGCCCCUUACAGACCUGUUUCAUAAUUUGCACUGCUCUGCCUAUUGUAUCGGCCUCCUUUGAAAAAUUUACCUCCAACCAAUACAAUGCGUCAGUCUUUUUGUUAGAGGAAGACAAUUGCUUGUAAGGAGAAGGUCCUGGGCCUUAAUGAAGUGCUAAAGAACACACAUUGGCUACUGGGCACAAAGGUCACUCAGUAGUCCUAACGCUAGAUGACAGCUAACGGAGCAGACCACACUGUGAAAGGACGGAGACUAAAGUUCAUAUGGUGAUAUCAUUAUUUUAUUGUUCGGAGCCGUAUGUAGAAACCAGUUAAGCGUAAAAUUAAUUUAUAAAACAACUGAAAUUAGAAUAGCCAUUGACGAGUCACAGUGAGGGACUAACUGAAGAAAACAAUGAUCUGGGAUUUGAAUAGCUCGUCCUAGUCAGACCAGUAACGUACAACAGGAACUUUCCACAACAACCCCUCUUUACCUUUAGGUCUAAAAAAAAGGACUUCACUUGUAUAAUAAAGAUAUUUUCUAGUCAGAGCAAAAACAUAAAACUGUUAAUACCUGCUAAGAUCAGUUAUCAAGUCCUGCUCACUGGUUUUUAAUCAAAUGAAGUCACAGUUGUACAUGCCCAAUAGUUGGGCUAGAGGUGUAUAGUUCCUUAAAAAAGCUUUCUUAUCUUUUUACUGUCUAAGGUAAUUUUAGUUGAUAAGGUAACCUGGAACUUAUCAACUCUUUUUGAAAAGCACAUAUUUCUGUUUGAUGCGUCAGUUUAGUGUUUGCGAGCGAGUUUACCCCGUAUCUCAGUCAAGGUUCAAAAGCAAAGCCCUCAAAGUGUUUUCCCAUUUAUUUCUAAUUACUCUAAAAGACUCCUGAAAAUGACUAUUUUUUUGUCCAUGAAACAAAACUCUAAAAAGUCUAUUUUAAUUUGCAGUUACAGCAGAGCAGCAGGCGGAGAAGCACUAGGGGGUUGAAUACUUCUGUGAGGCUCUUGUCAUGAGAUCAUCUAAGUUUUAGUCGCUGCAUCAAAGUUUUUGAAUGAACACAUUUUUUUAACAAUCCACUGAGCAGAUACCUUGUACCUUUCCUCUGGAGAAUCAACGUGUGCCGUUAUAAAUACAACAAUUACUCGCAGAUCAUUUAACCUGUGCAGCUUAAAGUCUUUGUCUGAAGAGAGGUGAGGUAUUGUUUCUUAUGUGAGGCUAAAAUGAUCUUUCAUUCUACCUUAAUAGCAGUAUUCCAUGAUUUUUAUGCUAAACUGUUGGGGGACAAGUUGGGGGGGCCUCAUGAUGUUGGGACAGAUGGCAUUUAGCUCUAGCUGUGCCGGGCUCAGUGGGACCCGAAGCUUAAGAGGUUAGGCCUGUCAAAACCACUCUGUUCAUUCACUGCCUAACAAAGUGUGGACUGUCAGCCUGUUCCGUUUAAUAAACUUAAGAUUUUUCUUUUGUCAACGCCUGAGCAACACUUUGCAACUCGAUGACCUGAAUAUCCCAACAUGCACUGAGGCUCAAUGGGAAAGAUGGCACACCUCUGGCCCGAAACUUUCUGAAAUGUAUGGAUUUACGUCUGAUCUGGUCCAUAAAACUGUAAAAGCUGACAGUGCUUUGUGAGUAACUUUUUAAAAGUUUGGGUCAACAGUCUCUAUUAGCAAGAUCUAUAUGUAACCAUGGAACUGUGGAUGUAUUGAAAUUACUUGCCUAAGUGACUACAAGAACAAAAGGACGCUGAAUGUCAUUUUUUUAAGAGUUUACUUUGUAGUUAUGGACUUACUCUGGGAAAGAGUUAGAUCAGAUAUGAGUCAUAAGUUUAAGACUGGACUCAAUUCACUAUAGUUCCGUUUUUUCUGUAUGAAUGUGACUCUUGGGUCACUAGGAUGCUCAUUUUAUUUUACUUUUAUGUGGCACAAAUGUCCACAUCAGCUCAACUUUCACAGAAAAUAUACUUCACCACAAGAGGGAGACAUACUGUUACAUUCAGAGGGAUUCUCCACCUUACUGUACAUCGCCCACACACCGCUCAUCAUACUGGAAAUGCCCUGAAGCUACCCCAUGAAACCAUGAAAGUGCAGCAUCAUUGGUGAAAUGUUUAAUUUCUCCCCUCUCUUUCCCCCUUCUCUCAAUUUGUUUCAGUGUUUGUCGGGGUCAAAGGCUGAAGGCUGGUGAGUGGCGACCUAAGUGAGAGGCCGGGGUGACAUCUGACCUCUGACUGGGUGUGCUCCUGACCCUAGAGGAUACAGCUCAACAAUAGGAGGC
This 8616-nucleotide long non-coding RNA is filed under the name Xyrichtys novacula (pearly razorfish). Lineage: Eukaryota; Metazoa; Chordata; Actinopteri; Labriformes; Labridae. The record is from RNAcentral.